RNAcentral lists this non-coding RNA (45 nucleotides) under Schistosoma curassoni. The record is from RNAcentral. Lineage: Eukaryota; Metazoa; Platyhelminthes; Trematoda; Strigeidida; Schistosomatidae.
AUCCAGCUGACGAGCCUCAAAUAGGACGAAACGCGCAUCCUAGAU